AGUGAACGCUGGCGGCAGGCCUAACACAUGCAAGUCGAACGGAAGCACAGUGAUUGCUUGCGCAUACGGGGGGCGAGGGGCGGACGGUGCCUAAAUAUAUGGCAAUAUACUUUGGAGGGGGUGCUAACACAGGGAAAUAUACUCUAAUCCCCCAUAUGACGUACGUGGGAGAGCAGGGGAUCUUCUGACUUGGUGCGAGUGUAGGAGCCGAUUUCGGUUUGGAUGGUUGGCGGGGUAAAGGCCCAGCAAGGCGACGAUCGGUAGCUGGUCUGAGCGGAUGAUCACACACACUGGAACUGAGACACGGUCCAGACUCCUACGGGAGGCAGCAGUGGGGAAUAUUGGACGAUGGGCGAAAGCCUGAUCCAGCCAUACCGCGUGAGUGAAGAAGGACUUCGGGUUGUAAAGCCCUUUAGGUGGGAAGGAAGAGCAGCAGGUUAAUACCGCGCUGUUAUGACGGUACCAAAAGAAUAAGCACCGGCUAACUUCGUG
This 492-nucleotide ribosomal RNA is filed under the name uncultured bacterium. RNAcentral's name for it is "partial 16S ribosomal RNA". It matches the Rfam family "Bacterial small subunit ribosomal RNA", at positions 29 to 507 of the family's 1533-position model. The record is from RNAcentral.